AAAAAAUCCUGUCGAAACUAUAUGCGCUACUGAAUGCAGUAGAUACAAACAGACACGGAGACUUUAGAGAUGCCUGGCAGAAAGACAUAGGACGCCCAAUAGCAGACCUAGACUGGAAACAGGCAUUCCAAACACACAAAGGGCACACAUCAUGCGCGACUCACCUAGAAACAAUGAGGAAAAUUAUGUACAGAUGGUAUAUGGUCCCGGACAAACUAGCGAAACUAUACCCGGGAAGCUCAGGGGAAUGCUGGAGGAGUUGCGGAGAAAGGGGGACAAUGUACCACAUUUGGUGGACGUGCCCGAUAAUCACUCCCUACUGGGAGAUGGUGGAAGAGAUAAUCACUGACAUGAUAGGCCGCCCUUACAGCUUGGGGCCUGAACAGGGCAUACUAUUCAUGCAUUUUGCC
Pelobates cultripes (western spadefoot toad) is the source of this 410-nucleotide non-coding RNA. NCBI's taxonomy places the organism in Eukaryota, Metazoa, Chordata, Amphibia, Anura, Pelobatidae. The record is from the annotation of a GenBank genome assembly.